Molecule: ribosomal RNA, 468 nt
Filed under: uncultured bacterium
Lineage: Bacteria
Description: partial 16S ribosomal RNA
Rfam family: Bacterial small subunit ribosomal RNA
Source: RNAcentral
GACGAACGCUGGCGGCGUGCUUAACACAUGCAAGUCGAACGGAAAGGCCCUGCUUUUGUGGGGUGCUCGAGUGGCGAACGGGUGAGUAACACGUGAGUAACCUGCCCUUGACUUUGGGAUAACUUCAGGAAACUGGGGCUAAUACAGGAUAGGAGCUCCUGCUGCAUGGUGGGGGUUGGAAAGUUUCGGCGGUUGGGGAUGGACUCGCGGCUUAUCAGCUUGUUGGUGGGGUAGUGGCUUACCAAGGCUUUGACGGGUAGCCGGCCUGAGAGGGUGACCGGCCACAUUGGGCCUGCGAUACGGCCCAGACUCCUACGGGAGGCAGCAGUGGGGAAUAUUGCACAAUGGGCGGAAGCCUGAUGCAGCAACGCCGCGUGCGGGAUGACGGCCUUCGGGUUGUAAACCGCUUUCGCCUGUGACGAAGCGUGAGUGACGGUAAUGGGUAAAGAAGCACCGGCUAACUACGUG